RNA transcript from Patella vulgata (common limpet), 2217 nucleotides. RefSeq lists it as uncharacterized. The transcript has 11 exons. The record is from RefSeq and is a predicted model, not a curated record. NCBI's taxonomy places the organism in Eukaryota, Metazoa, Mollusca, Gastropoda, Patellidae.
UUGUGUAUAAAACAAACGAUAAACUCUUGUGUUCAGCAAUCUAAUUGUUUCACGUACUCUUGUGCUAUAGUAUAGUAUAGUAUUAUACAAUAUUAUCAUCAUGCGUGUUAUUUUGUGCAUUGCAAUGGUCUUGACCACUGUUGUGACUAUCUCGGGACAAAGGAGUGGGUGGCCUUGGUCACGAUAUGGAGGGAUGCGAAAUCCAAGAUGCAUCAGUUGUUCAGAGGUAAAAGAGGCUCAUCUGUGUGAAUCCUGCUGCAAAAUGAAUGUGUGUCUACCUAACCCAUGUAAGAAUAAUGGAACGUGUUCACCAGUUGAUAACAGUUACAGCUGUAAUUGUGCUAUAGGAUAUUUAGGAAAAAACUGUGACGUGAAUCUGUGUCUACCCGACCCAUGUAAAAAUGGUGGUACUUGUUCACCAGUUGAUAACGGUUACAGCUGUAAUUGUCCUACAGGAUAUUUAGGAGAAAACUGUGAUGUGAAUCUGUGUCUACCCGACCCAUGUAAAAAUGGUGGUACUUGUUCACCAGUUGAUAACGGUUACAGCUGUAAUUGUCCUACAGGAUAUUUAGGAGAAAACUGUGAUGUGAAUCUGUGUCUACCCGACCCAUGUAAAAAUGGUGGUACUUGUUCACCAGUUGAUAACGGUUACAGCUGUAAUUGUCCUACAGGAUAUUUAGGAGAAAACUGUGAUGGUAAGGUACUUACAUUCAUUAUUGUCACAAUAAUUUAGCAUGCUUUGAUUAACAAGCAGACAAGUUCAUUUGUGGAUGCUCUAGAGGCUAAAGUUAAUAUCCGAUUGAGUAUAAAUUUAUACACAGUGUUUGAGGUCAUGAGACGAAGAUUCCUAUUGAUUUUUAACGAUUUCCGAUAAUUACUGCCAAAGUUAUGGCCCUUGAUCACUUUGCAAAAUCUUGUGACGCUCUAAAGGCUAAAGUUAUCAUCCGAUUGACUUCAGAUUGAUAUACAGAGUUUAAGAUCUUGAGACGAACAAGUAUAUUGAUUUUCAAUGAAUUUUUAUGACUUGAACAGUUAAAUCCAUGAUAUUAAAAGCUUUGCAUACAAAACGUUAGCAUGGGGCAGAACUUUAUAAAAACCAAACAAAUUAUAAUAGUUUUCUGAUUGUACGUCGUGAAUUGUUGCUCUUAAAUCAGAUUUUAGUGUAUUAUAAAUGUUUCAUUACCGAAAAAAGUAAAAAUAUGCGACAACCCUUGUUGACUGCCAGGACGAUUUAGUUGCUGUGGGCGUAUGUUUUCUUGCCUGGCUACCUAUCUUUAAUUCUAGUGAAUCUGUGUCUACCCGACCCAUGUAAAAAUGGUGGUACUUGUUCACCAGUUGAUAACGGUUACAGCUGUAAUUGUCCUACAGGAUAUUUAGGAGAAAACUGUGAUGUGAAUCUGUGUCUACCCGACCCAUGUAAAAAUGGUGGUACUUGUUCACCAGUUGAUAACGGUUACAGCUGUAAUUGUCCUACAGGAUAUUUAGGAGAAAACUGUGAUGUUAACCCAUGUGAUAUCAACAACCCCUGUUUAAAUGAUGGUACGUGUUAUCCAUCAGAAGGUGGCGUGAGUUGCAGCUGUCCUCUUGGAUUUGAAGGGUCCUUUUGUCAAGAAGAUUUAUGUGACCCGAGUCCUUGUACCGAGAUCGGGGAUACAUGUUUUCGUGUUGAUGGUGGAUUUGAAUGUCGAUGUAUUUAUAUUGUAAAUGAUGAAAUUAUAACAUCACCGAAUUAUCCACUUGAAUAUCCAAACAACUUCGCCAUUUGCUAUCUUGUAAUUGGCCGACCUGAACAGAAUAUCACCUUAACUCUUGGCGGACAAUUUAACAUUGAGUUCACUGAUGGGUUUAUAGUGAUUAGUACAUGCCGGCGCGAACUAUCUACAACAUGUAUUAAAGAUUAUCUAACGCUUCAGGGAGUAAGUUAUUGUGGUGGGGCACCGCCAGACCCUAUCAUAGUACCAACUGGUGAAAACACCACCGUGAGAUUCGAAACAGAUUCCAUCUUUACAUGCCUUGGUUUUAACCUGAGCAUUACCUACACAGAUGUAUAAAGCCAAGACAUCAAGAGAUGUAUACAUUUUGAGACAUCAAGAAUAAGUCGUGUUAUAGCCAUCAAUGUAAUAACUAUAUCCAAAUUAAUCUAAAUUCAUUUAAAUAACAAAACUAAAUCCAUUCUAGAAACUGACCAAUAACCUAAAUAAACAAUUCUUACUGUAA